GGAUGUGAGGGCAAUCUGGCUGCAACAGCUGUCACCCCACUGAUCGCCAGGGUUGAUUCCGCUGAUCUAGCUGGUUAGGCGGGUGUCCCCUUCCUCCCUCACUGCUCCAUGUGCGUCCCUCCCAAAGCUGCCUGACCGGUCAAGAGGAUGGCCUUCCCCGAAUAGAGACGGACUGGUCUUCGGUCGAGGGUAUAUGAGUAGCUGCGCUCCCCUGCUAGAACCUCCAAACAAACUCUCAAGGUCCAUUUUCCUGUCUUAUAACCUGACUAUUUUAAAGAGUAAACCUGCUUGUUUACUCUUUUG
This 303-nucleotide small nuclear RNA is filed under the name Erinaceus europaeus (western European hedgehog). RNAcentral describes it as "7SK RNA". It matches the Rfam family "7SK RNA". Rfam says of the family: 7SK was discovered as an abundant small nuclear RNA in the mid-70s but a possible function has only recently been suggested. Lineage: Eukaryota; Metazoa; Chordata; Mammalia; Eulipotyphla; Erinaceidae. The record is from Rfam by way of RNAcentral.